This 330-nucleotide ribosomal RNA is filed under the name uncultured bacterium. RNAcentral describes it as "bacterial SSU rRNA". It matches the Rfam family "Bacterial small subunit ribosomal RNA", at positions 568 to 898 of the family's 1533-position model. The record is from RNAcentral.
CGCGUAGGUGGUAGUGUAAGUCUGGGGUGGAAUCCCAGGGCUCAACCCUGGAACUGCCUUGGAAACUGCAUUGCUUGAGUCAGUGAGGGGAGGGUAGAAUUCCUGGUGUAGCGGUGAAAUGCGUAGAUAUCAGGAGGAAGGCCUGUGGCGAAGGCGGCCCUCUGGCGCUGGACUGACACUGAGGCGCGAAAGCGUGGGGAGCAAACAGGAUUAGAUACCCUGGUAGUCCACGCCCUAAACGGUGGGCACUAGGUGUAGGGCUCGUAAGGGUUCUGUGCCGAAGGGAAACCAUUAAGUGCCCCGCCUGGGGAGUACGGCCGCAAGGUAGAA